Molecule: long non-coding RNA, 1504 nt
Filed under: Mus musculus (house mouse)
Lineage: Eukaryota; Metazoa; Chordata; Mammalia; Rodentia; Muridae
Description: long non-coding RNA chrX:42404255-42405759
Source: RNAcentral
GAAUUUUGCAGGCAAAUGCAUGAAACUUGAGAAUAUCAUCCUGAGUGAGGUAACCCAGUUCCAAAAAGGCACAUAUGGUAUGUACUCACUUAGAAGUAGACAGUAAGUAGCCUUAAAGUUCAAGAUAAACAUGCUACAAUCCAUAGACCCAAAGAAACAAAGUAAUAAGGAGGUCCCAAGGGAGGGUGCUUAAAUCUCACUCAGAAAGGGAAACAAAAUAAUCAUCAGAGGUGGAUGGAGAGGAAGUGAGGAUAGGAAGGGGGAUGGAAUAGAGUGUGGGGAGAACAGCAGGAGAGGGCUUGAAGUGAGAAUGGAAAUUGUUGAGGUGCAUCUCUGGGACUAGCUGGAGACCUGGGACAGGCUCUGGAGAAUCUAAGGGGGUGAUCCUAGCUGAGAUUCCUAGCAGAUGGGGAUGUGGAGACUGAAGUGCCCACCUCCUAUAGCCAGGCAGGACUUCCAGUGGAGGGAGGAGCACAUCAAUCCACUCACAAAUCCUUCAACCCCAAAUUGUCAUUUCUAUAAGUUGUGCAGGGAUAAAGAUGGAGCAGAGACGGAGGAAACAGCCAACCAAUGACUGCCCCAACUUGAGAGUCAUUCCAUGGGGGAGAGCCAAUCCAUGACACAUUUUUUCCCGCUUAUUUAUUUAUUUAUUUAUUAUUUAUUCACCCACUUAAAUCCUGUUCGCCAGCUGGUCCCCCCUCACAAGUCCCUCCCACCUUACCCCCUUCUCCUUUGAGAAGGUGGAGGUCCCCCUGGGUAUCUAUCCUCCAACCCUGGCACAUCAAGUCUCUGCAAGGCUAGUUGCAUCCUCUCCCACUGAGGCCAGACAAGGUAGGCCAGUUAGGGGAAUGGAUUCCACAAACAGGCAACAGCUUUAGGGACAGCCCCCGCUCAAGUUGUUGGGGGACACUCAUAAAGACUGAGCUGCACAUCUGCUGCAUAUAUGCAGGAAAGUAGGUCCAGCCCGUGUAUGCUCUUUGCUUGGUGGUUCAGUCUCUGAGAGCCCCAAGGGUCAAGGUUGACAUUAUUAAUGAUACUGUGCUUUUCUUACAGACAAGAACCUAGCAUAUUUGUCUCUCGAGAGGCUUUAUCCAGCAGCAGAUGGAGGCAGAUGCAGAGAUACACAGCCAGACAUCAGGAGAAGCUCCAGGUGCCUUGUGGAAGAGUGGGGGAUAGAAAUGAUCAAGCCAGAGAGAUCAAGAACACCCAAAGAAAACCUACAGAAUCAACUAACAUGGGCCCACGGGAGAUCACAGAGACUGAACUACUAACCAAAGAGCAGACAGAGGCUGGAUCUAAGACCCCUACACAUUUAGAGUAGAGGUGCAACUUGUCCUCAUGUGGGUCCUCUAUCAAUUGGAAUGGGGGCUGUCCCUGAUUGUGUUCCCUGUCACUGGAUCCUCUUCUCCUACCUUGACUACCUGGUUGGGCCUCAGUGGGAGAAGAUGUGCUUAGUCCUGCUGGGACUAGAUGUCUCAAGGCAGGGUGGUACCCUAGGGGGCGG